ACACGUGGCUUUGUGGCACUAGAUGAUUCCAAUGUACAGCCAAUGAUGAGCAGCUGCUGGGCUGAAGGGACUGGGGCCAUUUUAUACCAGGAUGUUACACAGAAAUGCCUGAAAAGCAAGGAGCAGCUAUCAGAAUGUUUGGUGACACAGCUCCUCCUGUCGUGGUUCCUUCGGCAUGGACUUCACAUUCAGCAGAUCCAUGAGGUGUUCCCUUUCGGAUGAGCUCCAAGGUCUUAAGAGAGCAUCUCUAGUCUGCGUGAGUCCGUCUGAACGACGGUCCUGAGCAAGAACCACCUAUAACCAUCUGCUCAAAAUAACUCAGGGGAAGUCAAAGCUUUCUAUGUGGAAGGUGACUGAAACCACAUACACAGACCACUGCAGCAUUCCUGACAUUAUGGAACUUGGAAAUGAUUCCAAACAUGGCCAUAGCUUGAGUAACAUGUUUUGCUAUGACAAGAACUUGGACUGUAGUCCUUCCCCCUCUCAAGAAUGUGACAUCACACCUUAUCAGAUCCUACGAGUGAGCUACUGACCUCAACCACUGAACUUCAAACUAUGUAAAAACCUAAGGGUUCGACAGACACUUUGAGAGCUUGGGCUGUGGCAAGCUACACUCUGUCAGCCUCUCUUCGACAGGGCCCCACCCUGCUAGCCUUUGAACUUGGAAGCAUCGCCCACAAACACCAGUGCCACCCUCUAGCCUUGAGGGACCAUAUAUGUCUCUGUGAAUCUCCGUUGCAUUGGACAGCUUCUCUCCCAAGAGCUGCUCUUAUAAAAGAGACACACCACAUUUUAAUGAGGCUUCGCUCUCCACAGAGGCCUGCUUCCAUCCUAAUUGAGCAAGUAGACUUUAGUAACUUUGGAACUCACUCACCCCGUGACUAAUACACCCUGUCUACCCAGCGCAUUCCCUGUGAGAUUUGUUCAUGUUGUUCUCCCCCUCCUUAAGCAUUGUGAACCUAGGAAAAAUAUCAUCUCUGUAGGGCAAUAAACCAUGUGAUUUGUGAAAU
This 1010-nucleotide long non-coding RNA is filed under the name Homo sapiens (human). Its description in RNAcentral is "HSALNT0302308". Lineage: Eukaryota; Metazoa; Chordata; Mammalia; Primates; Hominidae. The record is from RNAcentral.